Molecule: ribosomal RNA, 449 nt
Filed under: Anomalocardia puella
Lineage: Eukaryota; Metazoa; Mollusca; Bivalvia; Venerida; Veneridae
Description: partial large subunit ribosomal RNA
Rfam family: Bacterial large subunit ribosomal RNA
Source: RNAcentral
AAAUAAAGAGUUAGACCUGCCCGGUGUUAAUAAAGUAAACGGUUGCAACUUAGUUGUACUAAGGUAGCGUGAUAAGUUGUCUCUUAAUUAGAGAAUGGUAUGAAGGGUUUAAUGUAUAACCACUUUCUUUUUAAUAGUUGUUUAAGUUUCCAUUUAAGUGAAAAGGCUUAAGUUUUUGAAAAAGACGAGAAGACCCUGUCGAGCUUAAUUAGUAUUUAUUAAGUUAAUAUAUAUUUAUAUAAAAUUUUAUUGGGGCAAUAUUUUUUAAUAUAACAUUUUAUAAAAGAGUAGAUCCUUUUUGAGAGAAUGUUGAAAAAGCUACCGCAGGGAUAACAGCGUUAUUUUUUCUAAGAGAUCUUAUUGAAGGAAAAGUUUGCGACCUCGAUGUUGAAUUAUAAUACUACAUGGUGCAGCAGCUAUGUUAUGUGGGACUGUUCGNCCUUUAAUAU